Mastomys coucha (southern multimammate mouse) is the source of this 934-nucleotide long non-coding RNA. RefSeq lists it as uncharacterized. The transcript is spliced from 6 exons. NCBI's taxonomy places the organism in Eukaryota, Metazoa, Chordata, Mammalia, Rodentia, Muridae. The record is from RefSeq and is a predicted model, not a curated record.
AUGAUACACCACAGAGCAAGCACAUAGUGAACACAGGUAACAAGCAGGUUAAGGAUAGGGCUUUGGAACCCAGAAAAUGGCUUCAAUUGUUGGUACCAGGCUAUUAUUGUGCUCUAUGUAUUUACCUUGAGUGGCAGCAUUGAAAGGCAUGUGCAAUUGCAUGCAAAUUGAGAGAACAACUUAAAGGAGUCAGAGGGCUCCUUCUACCAGUGGUUUCCUGGUAUCAACUUCAGAUCAGUAGUCAUGGAGGAAAGUGUCCUGGUCACUGAGCCAUUUCACUGGUCCCUGUUUACACUCUAGGAAGUCAUUUGUUAUAUUCAACUAGUAUAACCAUGGUGUAAGGUACAACCUUACAUGACUCAACGGAAGCAUCUCAAGGAAUGUUGAGAAGCCUGCAUGAUGUGCUGGGGUAAUGGUGGAGCAGAACUUGUGGAAGUGAUCAACCAAUAUCCAGCUUAAGUAGAGGCCCACUCCAUAAGAGAAAGCAAAUGCCAGUCAUUCCCUGGAUGACCAGGAAUAUAAAAUUAGAUAGCCCAGACACCUAGAUAAGUACCAUAAGAACCAACCCUGACUGGCAACAAAGAAAAUAAAAAGAAAAUAAAAGAAGGAAGGAAGGAAGGAAGGAAGGAAGGAAGGAAGGAAGGAAGGAACAAUUAUCCCUAAUGAUAUUCUGCUAUAGAUGGAUAACUUGUACCGUAAUCAUAGAAGAGGCUUCGUCAACAGAUUGUAGCAGAUGUGAUUUUUAAAGACCUCUGCUAAAAGAAUAAUAUACUACAGUAUGAUGCCUACUAAUUCAGACUCAUGGUCACUACUCUGAAGCUACAUCGUUGUAAAUUCUGAUCAAAUGCUCACAGUGCUGCUGCAUUCUCUCGGGAAAUGGUAGCCCAGAAGACGCAUGCUAUGCCGACUCUGAAUCUACUGAGCCUGUCUUAAU